AUGACUAAGUGGGGGAGGUCCACAACUCAUUUGCUAAAGUGGGUUACAACUCAGAAGUCACCGACUGCCCCCUGGGCAGUCUUAAGCAAAGUUAUAGUCUGUAAUUGGGCCCCAUAAAGUGGAGGAAGGUACAGGAAAUGAUGAAAAGAAGGGUCUUGAAAAGCAGUUGCAACUUUUGUGAAGAGGUCUUCAAGCUCUUUUGAAGUGGGAAUUUUUCUUCUGCAUGGAACUGGGACUCUAGCAUUUAACUGCUCUGGGACCUUCUCUUGGACUUUGGAUUGAUAAGGAACUGAAGCAAAUAGGAAUUGAAUGAGUUGCCUACAGCCACAUAGCUAGCUACUAAGUGUCAGAGGUUGGAACUGUCAACGGGUGGAAUCUAGAAGUCCCCAAACUUGUAGUUUGAUCUUCAAGGGAGAAGCUUGCUAACUCCUAAAUCCAGAGAAUGAACUGUUGCAAAAAGAUGCCAGAAAACCUACACUACAUCAAGAAG
Long non-coding RNA from Monodelphis domestica (gray short-tailed opossum), 490 nucleotides. RefSeq lists it as uncharacterized. The record is from RefSeq and is a predicted model, not a curated record. Lineage: Eukaryota; Metazoa; Chordata; Mammalia; Didelphimorphia; Didelphidae.